UCCUAGUACGAGAGGACCGGAGUGGACGCAUCACUGGUGUUCGGGUUGUCAUGCCAAUGGCACUGCCCGGUAGCUAAAUGCGGAAGAGAUAAGUGCUGAAAGCAUCUAAGCACGAAACUUGCCCCGAGAUGAGUUCUCCCUGAGACUUAGAGUCUCCUGAAGGAACGUUGAAGACGACGACGUUGAUAGGCCGGGUGUGUAAGCGCAGCGAUGCGUUGAGCUAACCGGUACUAAUGAACCGUGAGGCUUAACCUU
This 255-nucleotide ribosomal RNA is filed under the name Escherichia coli. RNAcentral's name for it is "partial 23S ribosomal RNA". It matches the Rfam family "Bacterial large subunit ribosomal RNA", at positions 2676 to 2925 of the family's 2925-position model. Lineage: Bacteria; Pseudomonadati; Pseudomonadota; Gammaproteobacteria; Enterobacterales; Enterobacteriaceae. RNAcentral also lists the same sequence under 9 other names. The record is from RNAcentral.